GAUGAACGCUGGCGGCGUGCUUAACACAUGCAAGUCGAACGAAGCAUUUAGAACAGAUUAUUUCGGUAUGAAGUUCUUUAUGACUGAGUGGCGGACGGGUGAGUAACGCGUGGGUAACCUGCCUUGUACUGGGGGAUAGCAGCUGGAAACGGCUGGUAAUACCGCAUAAGCGCACAAUGUUGCAUGACAUGGUGUGAAAAACCCCGGUGGUAUAAGAUGGACCCGCGUCUGAUUAGCUAGUUGGUGAGAUAACAGCCCACCAAGGCGACGAUCAGUAGCCGACUUGAGAGGGUGACCGGCCACAUUGGGACUGGGACACGGCCCAGACUCCUACGGGAGGCAGCAGUGGGGAAUAUUGCACAAUGGAGGAAACUCUGAUGCAGCGACGCCGCGUGAGUGAAGAAGUAAUUCGUUAUGUAAAGCUCUAUCAGCAGGGAAGAUAGUGACGGUACCUGACUAAGAAGCUCCGGCUAAAUACGUGCCAGCCGCCGCCGUAA
Molecule: ribosomal RNA, 497 nt
Filed under: uncultured bacterium
Lineage: Bacteria
Description: partial 16S ribosomal RNA
Rfam family: Bacterial small subunit ribosomal RNA
Source: RNAcentral